AAAAAAAAGGAAGCGAGAUUUGUAUUAACUGGAGCAAUGUAUAGGAUUUUGUAUCUAGAUAGGUUAAACCGUCCACCUAUGAAAUGGGGUAUGUUCCCAAGGUGUAAGGCUUGGUCGGUUGGAGAUGUAAAUAUUGCAAAGAAUGACGAUGAAACCGUUAAGGGGGACUAUGGGAAGAUUGGGUGCAUUGAUGUGGCUUAUGGGGAGAGGCAUCCUCUUAUGGCUAGGGACAGUUUUGGUCCACAAUCUAUGGCGUACGAGGUA
Molecule: long non-coding RNA, 264 nt
Organism: Beta vulgaris subsp. vulgaris (sugar beet)
Lineage: Eukaryota; Viridiplantae; Streptophyta; Magnoliopsida; Caryophyllales; Amaranthaceae
Exons: 3
Source: RefSeq, a predicted model, not a curated record